GGCAGCUGCCUAUGAGCGCCGGCCACUGGAGGGCGGCAGAACACACUGAUGAGAAAAUGCUGUCUCUACAAAUCUGUCGCCCCCCACCUCCGUGAUAGCGCCUCACAUAUUCACUUGAGGGCUCAGGCAUGUUGCCUGCACCCUUACCACCCCCCACCCCCAGGGCCAGGGCACUUUUAUUUUCCCUUUGCAGCCACAUGCUGCAGUGUGCUCAUACAGAAGCCGACGCUCUGCUGAGUUUGCUUCCUGCAUGGACAGGAACAGGAAGUCACUUGGUGCACAUGUGACUGUGAGAGAGGAGAGGAGAGGAGCCUUCAGACGUAAGGAGCAGCAGCCCAGCAGGUCUAUCAGAAAGCCAUACCAUACGGGGGAGCACAGACUCAGACUCUGCAUUACAUGCUCCCCCUAGUGACCCGCGUCUGACUGCAGUCCUUGGAACAAAAGAGGAAGCCUAUUACAGAUGUAGUGUGCUUCCUAUUGAUCACUAUAACAACAGCUGCUAACUGAGCACUAGAGGAAGCUUAUGUAAGCCGGAGAAGGUUCAUGCAGCAAAUUGGUGACUUCAAUGACAACUUCAAACAACGAGACUAAUCCUAUGCUCUGACAUGUUCCUGGCGGCAGAAACUUCACACAACGCCCGGCUUCUUGUUGCAGAAUAAAACCACUGCUUCUUGCUACGUGCUUCACUGGAGAUAAUUAUUCAGCUUUGUGUUUUUGAUCCUUUAAGUUGUUUGAAAUUAUUUUUAUUAGCAUUUUGCUGUACUUUCCCUAAGAAGACAUAACACUAAAAGGAAUGUUUCCUAAAUUUACUUAAUCUGAGAACCGUCCUAAAGCCCCCAAAAUAACUACUUCCAAAUCCAAUAAAGAGAUCAACAUCUAGUGUUAUCAAUGUUAAAGAUAUAGGUAUCCGGUCUUUAGGUCUACAAUCAUUAGUUCGACCACUAUUGGUCGACAUGCAUUAGGUCGAUAUGGUCAAUAGGUCAACAUGGCAAUGGUCGACACAUGAAAAGGUCGAGAUGAGUUUUAAAAAAAAUUAUGUUCUUUUACUUUUUCAUACUUGACGAUCAAAGUGGACAACAAUUGGGAAAAGUAACCUGUGCCAAGCGCAGCAGUAGCGAGCCAUGCGAGGGAACACGGUGCAGUAAUUGGGGUUCCCGGUCACUUUACGAAGAAAGUGACACCCAAAAAAUAUAAAAACUCAUGUCGACCUUUUUCCACGUCGACCUUGUCCACGUCGACCUAAUGACCGUGUCAACCUAUUUCAGGUGUUGACCUAGUCACUGUCGACCAAUAGUGGUCAACCUAAUGACUGUCGACCUAGUUACUGUCGACACUAUGAUCCACACCCAAGAUUUACUGAGGGCAGGUUUUUACAUGCUGCUGCUGCCCGGCUGGGUUAUCCCCAAAAUUUCAAAUGGCAAUCAUAUUAAAACUGAUGUAAAUGUGUAUACAGUUUGCUGGUCUAGUACAGUUAAGCGAUAGUACAGGCCGUACUCACUGUUACACCAGUUGAAGAGCAAGAAGUUUCCAACUGUCACUUUUCAAACACAGCCUGUAACAUGACAGUUAGGAACUGACUGGCUGGAACUUUAUCUCUCUUCACUUUAUCACUCUCCAAGGCUUAGUACAUCUGCCCCUUAGCGCUAUAGGAAACUAAUGUUGAAUAUUCAGAUUCACCAACUAAAUCCAUGUCUAAGGUAGCAAAUCUAUAUUUGACCAUAUAUAUUACACAAUAUACAUAAAAAAAAAUCUUGAAUGAACUUCACCAGUCUCCUCUGUCUUAUAUGAAAAAAUAUGAUGCUUAAGGGCAAUU
Molecule: long non-coding RNA, 1813 nt
Organism: Pseudophryne corroboree (corroboree frog)
Lineage: Eukaryota; Metazoa; Chordata; Amphibia; Anura; Myobatrachidae
Exons: 3
Source: RefSeq, a predicted model, not a curated record